Molecule: long non-coding RNA, 1052 nt
Filed under: Homo sapiens (human)
Lineage: Eukaryota; Metazoa; Chordata; Mammalia; Primates; Hominidae
Description: HSALNT0309985
Source: RNAcentral
GAAGGGCUGCUGGAGCGCGGCCAGAGCGGACGCCGAGGCCGAGGAGGCGCCGAGAGCGAGUGAGAGCUGCUAGCCAGUUGUCACCUCUCACAGAGAGGUCCACAUUUGCUGAAAUGUAACUCUUAUCUCAUGCACUGGGAGUGAUGAACUUCACUAGGAAAUCAUCGUUCUUUCUGGUAAGUCACCACAGCACAAAACUGCAACCAUUGUUUAGUAACAACUAGACUCUGAUAGAUGCUGUGGAGAAUUUGACUAGAAGUAGGAGGAUCAUUUACUACAUGGCAAAAAAACAAAUCAGUCUAUCUUAGAAAGGUUAAAAUUUACAUGGAUAAUAAAGAAAGGAAGGUAGAAGAAGAGUGAUAAAUUAGUGAGAAAAGAACAGUAGGUGUAAUUAUAGCAAUAUGCUUAAAUGAAAGAGAAAAAUAUGGCAGAAGCAUUUAUUGAUUUGAGAUUGUAAUUUUUUUAAAUAAAAAAGCUUAGUCUGGAUUCCAACUUGUAUAUAAAAUUAGGAGCAAAGGUAUGAUUAAUAUGUUCAUGGAAUAUAAUUAUCAAGAAACCACAGACAUUUGUGUAUGGAGGACACAGAAAGGUGAGAACUUGCUAACAGGAAUCCCAUUAAAGAAGCUUCAGAAUUUGAAGAUCAGCAAAGAGAAGGAAGAGAUGAGAAUGAAAGGCUUUAUGAAGGAAUGAAAUGACAGUCAUUGCAUUUAUUGAUGUAUCUGUAUUUAAACAUAAGUAUAUUUAUUUAUAUUUGAACAUAACAGUUUUCUAGCAAAAUUAAUAAGGAUUAUGCUACAGACAUACUCAGUUACGAUCUUAGAGGGAUUCUGAGAACUCUUUGAUAGGUUAUUUACUUAUAGUUUGUCAGUAGUUUCUAAACAUUUUUGGAUGGACAUCUCUAUAAGUAAUAAUAUUUGAGCAAGUAAACUUCAGUACUAUAUUUGUUUAUAUGUACACAAUUUUUCUAAUAUAUAAUUUAAAAAUACCUACUAAAAUUGAUGAGAUAAGAUGAAUGUAAACAGAAUUUUUAAUAAAUUAUUUCUACCACAGCA